AGAGUUUGAUCCUGGCUCAGGAUGAACGCUGGCGGCGUGCCUAACACAUGCAAGUCGAACGAAGCACUUUUACUCGAUUCUUCGGAUGAUGGUGAGAGUGACUGAGUGGCGGACGGGUGAGUAACGCGUGGGUAACCUGCCUCAUACAGGGGGAUAACAGUUAGACAUGACUGCUCAUCACCCGCAUAAUACCACGGAGCCGCAUGGCUCUGUGGGAAAAACUCCGGUGGUAUGAGAUGGACCCGCGUCUGAUUAGGUAGUUGGUGGGGUAACGGCCCACCAAGCCGACGAUCAGUAGCCGACCUGAGAGGGUGACCGGCCACAUUGGGACUGAGACACGGCCCAAACUCCUACGGGAGGCAGCAGUGGGGAAUAUUGCACAAUGGGGGAAACCCUGAUGCAGCGACGCCGCGUGAGCGAAGAAGUAUUUCGGUAUGUAAAGCUCUAUCAGCAGGGAAGAAAAUGACGGUACCUGACUAAGAAGCACCGGCUAAAUACGUGCCAGCAGCCGCGGUAAUACGUAUGGUGCAAGCGUUGUCCGGAUUUACUGGGUGUAAAGGGAGCGUAGACGGCUGUGUAAGUCUGAAGUGAAAGCCCGGGGCUCAACCCCGGGACUGCUUUGGAAACUAUGCAGCUGGAGUAUCGGAGAGGCAAGUGGAAUUCCCAGUGUAGCGGUGAAAUGCGUAGAUAUUGGGAGGAACACCAGUGGCGAAGGCGGCUUGCUGGACGAUGACUGACGUUGAGGCUCGAAAGCGUGGGGAGCAAACAGGAUUAGAUACCCUGGUAGUCCACGCCGUAAACGAUGACUACUAGGUGUCGGGUAGCAGAGCU
Molecule: ribosomal RNA, 831 nt
Filed under: uncultured bacterium
Lineage: Bacteria
Description: bacterial SSU rRNA
Rfam family: Bacterial small subunit ribosomal RNA
Source: RNAcentral